GACGAACGCUGGCGGCGUGCUUAACACAUGCAAGUCGAACGAAGAGCGAUGGAAGCUUGCUUCUAUCAAUCUUAGUGGCGAACGGGUGAGUAACGCGUAAUCAACCUGCCCUUCAGAGGGGGACAACAGUUGGAAACGACUGCUAAUACCGCAUACGAUCUAAACUCGGCAUCGAGGAUAGAUGAAAGGUGGCCUCUACAUGUAAGCUAUCACUGAAGGAGGGGAUUGCGUCUGAUUAGCUAGUUGGAGGGGUAACGGCCCACCAAGGCGAUGAUCAGUAGCCGGUCUGAGAGGAUGAACGGCCACAUUGGGACUGAGACACGGCCCAGACUCCUACGGGAGGCAGCAGUGGGGAAUCUUCCGCAAUGGACGAAAGUCUGACGGAGCAACGCCGCGUGAGUGAUGACGGCCUUCGGGUUGUAAAGCUCUGUUAAUCGGGGCGAAAGGCCUUCUUGCGAAUAGUGAGAAGGAUUGACGGUACCGGAAUAGAAAGCCACGGCUAACUACGUG
Molecule: ribosomal RNA, 510 nt
Filed under: uncultured bacterium
Lineage: Bacteria
Description: partial 16S ribosomal RNA
Rfam family: Bacterial small subunit ribosomal RNA
Source: RNAcentral